This is a non-coding RNA of Stegodyphus mimosarum, 73 nucleotides long. Lineage: Eukaryota; Metazoa; Arthropoda; Arachnida; Araneae; Eresidae. The record is from Rfam.
GCCUUCGUGGUGUAGUGGUCAGCACGCUCGACGCGUAACCGAGAGGUCCGUGGUUCGAUUCCUAGCGGCGGUG